AACAGCAAAAGAACCUGUGGCAGUUUGUCUCUGCGCAGUGCGGGCGUCUGUGAGGGCAGUGGUUUCUGACUUCAUGGUGCACACGCAUCCCAGCACCUUCUUGUUUCUCCUGUGACCGAAGCCAUUGCCAGCACUGCUGGCUGCUUUCCUGUGCGGUCCCUUGUACCCCUGGGAUGCCCGUUUGCCCUGCCACAUCCCCAGGAGCCCUUCACCUCCGCACCAUGCCCUGCUGUGGGCAUCCCCCUCCUUGAGCAGUGAGCCUGGGAGUGCCGGCGCACACCUGGCCAAGCUCGCCUGCUCUCCCCUCCGUGCCUCACCAUGGUCUUGGGCACCUGGGCAGCAGCUGCAAGCCAGGACUUGGUGGCAGAUGUGGGGAUGUCAGUGGGUUGGAGGGAGGCUGCUCCUAAACGGGUUCAUCUGAGGUAGCAGCAGGGCAGAGGAUGGAUGUUUAAAACAGGCAGUGUUGCCAUAAAUGGGUGAGAUAGCUUUCCAAAGCACUCAGCUCUGAUUUCUCAAGUGGUUCAGUGACUAAAGCAUCUCAGAAAAGUGGAGUUUUGCUGCUUUAACCCAAUAUCUGUCACCCUGAGAAAUGAGUAGCAAUAAGUCUGGGCAGCAGAUGGUAAAGUCUUCCACAUACCUAAAGAGGAGAGAGGGAAUGACAGUGACGUUUCUGACAUCUUGUUAAAUAAACACACAUGUCACUUCAUCUCAGAUAUGAAUGUACACUGCAGUGCAGAUGAUUAAAUAGAGUACUGGGGGAUUGGACUAGAUGAUCUUUUGAGGUCACUUCUAAUCCCUAACAUUCUGUGAUUCUGUGAUACUUCAUAUUUGGAAGUAGGUGUCUGCCUGUUGGGUCAAAAUUUCAAACACUUCUAUAUGUGGCAGCUAGCCUUUGGCUUGGUUUGCUCAGUAACUCACUGAACCUACUUUUAGUGUAAUUAUUGGAAUAAAUAUUUAUGCUCCAAAGACCUGGUAUCUAGCUUAUUGGGGCAAAUCCAUUCUAAUUUCCUUUUUUUAAUACGAGCAACGCUGAAGGGAAUUGGUGUGUGAAUAGCUCUCCCUAUAGCCACUGCAACCACUUGUGCUGCCAUGCUCACCAGCAUCUGAGGGAUGGGGAGGGUAAUUCAUUUCCAUUUAGCACAUGGGGAAAAUAUUUCCAUUCAACACUUAGUCUGUCUUCUGAGAGAACACAGAAAUGGGCACAUUGUCUGUUUAGGUUGUUAAUGUGACUAUUAGUGUUUUGGUAGUAGCUUCUAAAGAGCUAUCAGAUGGUGUCAUGGUUUUUGGAGGACUCUAGGUCAGGCUCUGUGUGGCAUGGUAGGGUUGUCAUGUCCCCCUGACUCACUGGUGGGUACUGGAGCACUUACCCAGUGGUGUGUGUCAAUUAUUGGUGAUGUAGGAGUGGAACACGAGGCAGGUAGAGCAAGCACUUUGAAAAGCCCACGGUUUGUGCAGCAUUAAUUUUGAUAAAUGUUUUUCCCUGCAGAGCCCAAAUUGGGGGAGGUGCUGACCCUGUGGAGCUUGCAGGUAUUUAGAGGCAGGAGUGGGGCUGGGGCUGCCUAUCAGCAUCAUUCAUUGCAGCUGGUGCUGGGGUUUUCCCUGCUGUCCGUUUGGAGGCUGCAAAUGCUGCUCUUUCAGUGUGUUCCAAGGGACAGAAGAUUCAGUCUCCAUCCUAGUGACUGCUUUGGGGGUGAGAAUAUCUUAAGCCAUGAUGAGGAGAUUCUUCUUGGUGCUCCUCUUGAAAAGCAAAGUGAUGGGUACUGACGGAGAACUGUUGUCCUUGAUGUGGAGAUGCUGAGGAUCCUUGGCUGAGUACUGUACUCCUCAGGCAAGAAAAAAACCCCACAAAACCCUGCAGGAGCCUGGAAAUGUUUUUGUAUCAGUCCCAGUGGCCUGACAUGAAAGAUAUAUAGCCACUUCGAAGAAUUUGACAACACUUCAGUAACAAUUAUCCAGACAGACUGGAAAUGCUUUUUUAUGGGGGCUUGUACUGGCGAGGCUCAGCAAUGCUUCUGUCAUUACAGCACAUUUGUCUUGGAUCACUCAGGAUGUAUUCGUGUGCAGCUGAAAUUCCUGCUAGCUGCCUGUGGCCAUCAGUAACGGAAGUGCCCAGAAGAACAUUGGGAAACAUGUGUGUGUAAGUUUGUGAUCUAAACUAAAUGACUUUGAUUUGUGCAGCUUACCUGAGGCCUUCCUUUUCUAAUUAUUUGGCCUGAAAAAAUACGGCAGUUUUGGGCUGUAUUGUUAGCAAUCUAUAUAGUAUUACAAGGUAUCCUAACAAGAGCUGCUGCAACUUUCAUCUGAUAGGCCCUAAGAUUUCAUCUGGUUAUUGAACACAAAUUGCCCUAAAAGUAUUUUAACUGGGAGACAAAAUAUAUUCCAGUGAUAAACACAAAAUGAAACUUCCAUGACAAUUUGUUAAAACACAGCUUCUCUUGCGAAACCGUUUGUGAGGGCUGGUUUGUCAGAGAGGCAUAAAUACAUUAAAGAGAAAGUAUCUUAAUUCGCCAAAACAUUGAGUGAUAAUAUAAGCCACAGAUAACUCCUGGACUGAAAAAAGCAUCAUUAAAUGUUGCAAUAUGAAUGGAAAUUUGGGUUCUCUGCUGUGCUACGUCAAGGUGUUCACUGUCCAAGAAUAUCAGAAGGCCUGAAAAAGGCUUUGAGAUACCUUAGGAGAUGCUGUGAAUGUGCCUUUUACAGAAACAUCAAAAUUACAUACUAAUUAACACCACAGUGGCAGACAGACAAGGGAAGGAGGAAGUAUUGUACUCAUAUCUGCCCCAGAAACAGAUACCAGCUGUGAGCUGAUUUGCGAGCACCCUCCUUCCAUUAGUGAUUUUGAAUUUCAAAGUGAAAUAGUUUAAACACACCUGUUUCUUAUUUAUGUUCAUACCUUCAUAAGAUUAUACUGUUCUGAGCUACAUCCUUUCCUUCCUUGUAUCUGUGAAUCUCCAAAUUGAUGGGAUUUUGCCUGAGAAAAGAAUUUGUCACUACCUGAUCAUUUCAAGAUGAUACUAAGGAGGCAGUGAUGGCAUUUUUUUUCCCUGGGUUUGGUUGGGUUAUUCAUGUCAGAUCUUGAAAGUGGAAGGAAAACAGAUGUGAACAAAAACGAGGCUUCAUGUUCUAUACGCUUUUUAUUUUAUUUUUUUUUUUUUUUUAAGCAUUUAUGUGCUUAUUCAGGGCUCUUGGGUGCAGUCAUGCUCCCCACAAUCUUGCCAGCAUCGCAGAUCUUUCCUAGCUAGUUGAUGGCUUUUGGUAAGCACGCUUCUCUAUAACUGUUUGCAUUUUGAGCUGAGCCUGUAUGUAGCUUGCUGGAGAAAUAGAUGUUUAUUUUUAUUCUAUUCCCUGCCCCCCCACCUUGGAAACCUGUAUUUAGAAGAUACCUGCUUCAAGAUUUUCUGCCAUACCAAUUUUUCAGGAUAGGCACCCUGAAAUUACUCUUAACCCGUGCGGGGUUCAACAAAAGCAGAGAGGACUGAUUAUCCAGACAAAUCCAAAACAGAAGGUGGUUGCAGAGUUGUGGGGCCAGCCAAGGAGGAAUGAAGGGGAUGUCAUUGUCUAGAGCUGGGUUCAGCCUGGAUGGCUCUUCUCUGGGUGGGUGAAGCACAAAAGUAGCCCAGGGUGAGUGGUGUCUCUCACCCCAGCCUGCUUCUCGCCCUCCUCUGUGAAGCUCAUGGGAGAUGGUCCUGACAUAUGUUCCUUCAUAGUUCAGUUCAGCUUCACAGCCACUUUUGUCUCCAUCAGCUGCCUUGCUUCUGGUCACCAUAGGGGUGGGUGCCCCAUCCUGCUGAGGAGGUGCUGCUCCAGGCACUGGGUGCCUCCCCUGGGCUCCAUGUGAGGCACAGCUCUGUGCUGCUCACGGAGGUUUGUUCUCAGGGCAAAGCCCUUUUAUGAAUACAGCUAUGGUUAGUGCCUUUUUUUUUUUUUAACUGCUGCAAAGCCAGGAUUAAUGCAAAUAGCAUAUUACUGAGCAAUAUGAGGAUAGUUAAUCGCCUUGCAGCAGCUGUGGUGUCCCCGGCUCCGCUGCUGAAGGACACCCGGGCAGAGUGCUAGAAAGGUGCUGUGAAUGCCUGAUGAGGCUGUGGCACGUCCCAGAGCCCUGCUCUACAUCAGGGCUGUGCUGGCUUUCUCAAAAGUGCCAGGAGAUGGCAGUAAAGGCAUUUGCAAGGGAGGAUUUCUUUAACUCAAAUUGUUUGUCCCCUAGGGAUCCUUGUAGGAGACCUUGAUCAUAAAUCCCGCAUGCAAUAAGGGGUUCAUAAUGCAUCCUACAGAGUACACGUUGUAUUGUUCCCUGAGAUGUAAAGUUUCAUUUUCAACAGAGAAGGCCCUUUUCUUUCCUCUUUUCUAUUUAUUUUUAACAUCUAGCAUAUUCCUACUGUUUAAUUUUCUUUCAAAGAAACAGGCAAACUAAGCCUUUAAUGUUCACUGAGCAAGACAUCGAUGUGAUGGUUGCAGGGAAACACAGGGUUGCUAGUACAGGGGAGUGAAAAGGGAUAAACCACAGUUUUGCCAGACUGGAUAUAGAGGGUUAUUCCUUGCCUGAAAAUGAGCCUUACCCUUGUCAAAAAGGUAUUCAUGCUGAUGCUUUGAGACAGAGUAGCCAGACACAGCAAAGCCUUUUGCAGAGGUCUGCUUUGUUGUGGGAAAAUAGUUAAGGAGGAAUUUGAAACUUGAUUUUGCCUUGUUUUGUCAUCUUCAGUAGCUAUCAGGAAGGAACUUGGAUGUAGGAAAUGGAUGGGAAGAGAAACAGAAAUUCUUUUCUGCCACAUAGACAUUUUAUUUUCCCUGGAUAAUAAUGUGACAUGGAAAGAAUUACUGACGUUCAUGAAGGUGAAGAAAAGCAGAGUUAUCUGCCACACACCCACACUUCAGACUGUUCUUCUUACUGGUAUUACUUUUAGCAUGUUCUUCUCAGCAACAGUAAUGAAAAAUAGGUGAAAAGCCAUUCAUGAUAUUUCCUCCUUUCAUUUUACAGGGGAAUGGUGCUAAAGACAAUGCUAUACAUGCUUUGCUUGAAAACAGCCUUUCUAAAAGCAUUGGUUGUAAUUUGGGAUUUGGGAGCUGCAGUGCAGGAGGCAUUUUUUUGGUUCUUUAAGCUGAUUUUGUGAGAUGCUGUUGAAGAAGUUGGUGAUGGAACACCUGCAGUCACUGUUUGAAUCGUAUUAAUGGAAAAUAGGAAUGAUAGAAAGCCAGAAAAGCUUUGGCUUGCACAGCCACCCAGGAACAUUCCUUGCUUUUAGCUUGUGCUGCCUUAGAUAUGAAAUACAAAGAUGGGGAUCUCACCAGAACAGGCUGUUCCAUGGCAUUCCUCGCGCCGUCUGCUUUUAACCAGCCCUGAGAUGCUGAGUGGCUGGUGUCGUGGGGUCUGUGGGUGGCUGUGCCCUGACCAAUGCAAGCCAGACACAUGUUUCUUCUAGGGUUUGGGUAAGGAGGGAAGAUGGGGGGGUUAUUGGGAAAAAUGGAUUUGUGGUAUGGGAGCGUUCUUUUCCCCUACACUGUGAGCUUGGGAGAUACCUUGGGACUCACUGGCCUGCUGUCUUUUGGCAUUGCGUGAAAGCUGGGUGUCUGCAGAAGCCUUCGGGAUUGACUGUUGUUCCUCUAACAUGUUAUUCUUGUGGUCAUUCAGGUUCUGCCUGCAAUGAGCUUCUAAGAGGCUGUGGUAAGACGUUCUUGGUUGUCUCUGACCUCAUGGGCAGGCUCAGGCCUGAUGUGGUAUGGGGCUGCAAGUGGCCUGAGAUGCAGUUCCGCAAGAUGAUCAUUUGACCAUGGACCAAGGCCCAAGUUAUCUUUCUGGUGGCACACACUUGGUGCAAGCAUCGCGUUUGGCAGGAGCAGGGCCAGUGCUUUCCCCACUGGGAGUUGGAAGGUGACUUCAACAGUAUUAAAAUUUUUACCUCAUUUGUUAUUGUCAGUUGCAUUUUUUUUGGGGGGGAGGGCGGUUAGCUAUGAAUAAACUGAAUUAAAAACCUCACUACUGAGACACAUUCUUUUUCUGUGAGGGUGUCUAGUUGUCUCCUCAUUUGGACCACUCUCAAUUAACCCAAACCUCUUGAUUUCAGCUAGGUUGAAAGUCUAAUGGCAUUGUCAGGAUUUUGGAGUGUUUUGAAGGCUGGAGUUUAUAAGUAGGGAUGUUGAGGCUGAGAUGUUGAAGCUUAAGUUUUAUUCCCUUUUCUCUGCUUGAGAUUUUCCCUACCUUGCCAUUGUGUAUGUACUUUGAGUUUCUCCUUGUUUCUGUAACCCUUGGUGGUUUCUUUUCUGUGGAAGAGUUUUGUGGAUGAGAGAUGUCUGCAGAGAGCCCUUCCUCUUCCUUUUUUUUUUUUUUUUUUUUUUUUUUACGGAGAAUUUACCAAGGCUUGCUCAAAAUGCAGACAUCUUAAGUAUUAGUAGGAAAAGGUUCAAGGGAGAUUUAUGUGUGAGUGAUUCUUAUUUUAUUGAUGCACCUUUCCUGAAUGUUUUCUCGAGAUCCAAUGCUAUUUUUUAAGCUGACUUUGGCUAAUGAUAAGCUCUGGGGUAGGAACUGUCUUAUGGCCUGGAGAGGUUUGAGUUACCUGGUUUUGAAAUUCUGUGUGCAUCUUAUUAGGGUGUUUGUAUUGUAACAGCAUAUGAGCAGAAUGUAGGACCGAGUUCUGCCCCCAGUUGCUCUCAAACAAUGCUGUAUCUUAAAUAUGUGGAGAUAACUUAAUUUGCCUUUAGAAUUAUAAUCUUGGCAGUCUUAACCUUGACUUUGUACAGUCAUA
This is a long non-coding RNA of Columba livia (rock pigeon), 6737 nucleotides long. RefSeq lists it as uncharacterized. The record is from RefSeq and is a predicted model, not a curated record. The transcript has 5 exons. NCBI's taxonomy places the organism in Eukaryota, Metazoa, Chordata, Aves, Columbiformes, Columbidae.